UAAGACAGAGGGUGCGAACGUUGCUCGGAAUUACUGGGCGUAAAGCGCGUGUAGGCGGACUAGUAAGUCGGACGUGAAAUCCCUGGGCUCAACCCAGGAACUGCAUCCGAAACUAUUAGUCUGGAGUGGUGGAGAGGAAAGCAGAAUUCCUGGUGUAGAGGUGAAAUUCGUAGAUAUCAGGAGGAACACCGGUGGCGAAGGCGGCUUUCUGGACACUAACUGACGCUGAGACGCGAAAGCGUGGGGAGCAAACAGGAUUAGAUACCCUGGUAGUCCACGCCGUAAACGAUGAGUGCUGGGUGUCGCGGGUUUUGACCCCUGCGGUGCCGUAGCUAACGCGUUAAGCACUCCGCCUGGGGAGUACGGCCGCAAGGCUA
Molecule: ribosomal RNA, 377 nt
Filed under: uncultured bacterium
Lineage: Bacteria
Description: bacterial SSU rRNA
Rfam family: Bacterial small subunit ribosomal RNA
Source: RNAcentral